This 230-nucleotide ribosomal RNA is filed under the name uncultured bacterium. RNAcentral describes it as "partial 16S ribosomal RNA". It matches the Rfam family "Bacterial small subunit ribosomal RNA", at positions 106 to 339 of the family's 1533-position model. The record is from RNAcentral.
GUGAGUAAUGCCUAGGAAUCUGCCUAUUAGUGGGGGACAACGUUUCGAAAGGAACGCUAAUACCGCAUACGUCCUACGGGAGAAAGCAGGGGACCUUCGGGCCUUGCGCUAAUAGAUGAGCCUAGGUCGGAUUAGCUAGUUGGUGAGGUAAUGGCUCACCAAGGCGACGAUCCGUAACUGGUCUGAGAGGAUGAUCAGUCACACUGGAACUGAGACACGGUCCAGACUCC